Molecule: long non-coding RNA, 652 nt
Filed under: Mus pahari (shrew mouse)
Lineage: Eukaryota; Metazoa; Chordata; Mammalia; Rodentia; Muridae
Description: lncRNA (MGP_PahariEiJ_G0003091.1)
Source: RNAcentral
CUCAUCCCACUCUGAGGCGAAGGACGGUGACUUCUCCAGCCUCUUCUUCCCGAUGCUGCAGUUGGACAAGGACUCGCUGCGACUCCCCAUUGUGGCGUCCUCCGUGGGGGAGCAGGUCAGGAGGUCAGAGUCAGACUUAGACAAACUGCGGCUGAGUUUGAGUUCAGCUUUGGGCUUGCUGGUGGGAGGGGCUCUGCUUCUGGGCCCGCUCUGGUCUUCUUCCUCAGCACCAGCAGGGUGCAGAGGUACUGCGUGAGUCAAUGUGUCGUCGAGGUAUGUCCUGCUGGCCGGGGUUGUCAGGACUUAAAUAUGUAAGGGAUUCUCCCCACGUCCUCUGUAAGCUCCCUGGUAUCUCAGUUCCGUGUGAACAUAACCUUAGCCUGGAAAUGCAGCUGGAAUGGGUAACUGAAAACUAAAAGUAAUGCUUGUUAGGAUUAUAGGUGUGUGUCAUGUCUAGCCUCCUCCAUCUUUUAGGUUCAUCCUUUCUUCCUUUCUUCCUUCCUUUCUUUCUUUGUAUUUUGCACAUGAAAGAUUUAUUUAUUAUUAUAUGUAAGUACACUGUCGCUGUCCUCAGACACACCAGAAGAGGGCAUCAGAUCCCACUACAGAUGGUAGUGAACCACCAUGUGGGUGCUGGAAUUGAACUCAGAAC